AAUAAAUUAAAGUUAAAAUUUGAUAAUAGACUCAUACCACCAAUAAACUAUUUAAAUUUAAAAUAUAAAUAUAAAUUUUAUUUUUGAUUUUUGUGAUGUGCAUUGCCGUGCACUAUGACAAGUAUAUAUAUAUUAUAUGAGUAAGUCUCCUAUACUUUCGAAAGUACGGAGACCUCCGUACUUGUAAGUUAUUUUCGAUGGUAGAAAAUCCGAUUCGAGAUCGGUUUGUUAAGUAUAAUCAUCCUAUUGAACUAUUUGAAACUAAAUUUAUAAUUUUUGACAUCAUUUACCAAGCGAUCAAAUGUCUCAAAAAUGACUAUUUAACGACCGAUGUGAACACGUUUUUAAGUUCAAUACGGUGUAGAAGUAUCCAAAAUUAGAUGAAAAUUUAAUAGAAAAUCUACUUAACAUCAUAGCAAGACCAAACUUCCGAUUUGAAAUUUGAGUCCUUUAUCACUGUUUUUUAUGGAUUUUUAUUUUUAGCCGUUCAUUUUGAGGCUACUGCGUUUACUAACAAAAAGUCAAAAAAUUAUGAAAUUGGUUUCUCUCGGUAGUCUACAAUAACGUAGAUCAUGUUUAACGGAACCGAUUGCCGAAUCCGAUAUUCCAUUAUUAAAAUAACUUACAAGUACGAAGGCUUCCGUACUUUCGAAAGUAUAGAAGGCCUACUCAUAUAUAUAUAUAUAUAUUAUAUAUAUAUAUAUAUAAUAUAUAUAUAUAUAUAUAUAUAUAUAUAUAUGAGCAGGCGCUGUGCUCUCAGGAGCACGGAGGCCUCCGUGCUCCUGAGCGUUUUCGAUGAUGGAGUUUUCAAAUCGACAUCGGCUCCGUAAAACUUGAUCUAGCGUAUUAAAGUUUCUAGAAAAUAAUUUUUGUGAUUUUCGAUAUCAUUUACCAGCAAUCGAAAGGAUUCAAAAUCAAUAAUUUUUACAGGCUGAAAAUAAAAAUCCAUAUAAAACGUGUUGAUAUACACUAAAAUUUUCGAUCAGAAAUAUAGAUCUUGUUGUAGAUAGUAUAAAGAAUUUUCUAUCAAAAUUUCAUCUGAUUUGAAUACUUCUAACACCGUUAAACUUGAAAACGGCAGAUAUCAACCUUUAAAAUUAUGGAUUUUGAAUCCUUUCGAUCACUAGGUAAAUGAUAUGAAAAAUCGCAAAAAAUUAUUUUCUAGAAACUUCAAAUGCGCUAGUCAAGUCCUAACGGGCCGAUCGUGCGAUAUCGAAAAUUCCAUCAUCGAAAACGGCUCAGGAGCACGGAGGCCUCCGUGCUCCUGAGAGCACAGCAGCCCUGCUCUAUAUAUAUAUAUAUAUAUAUAUAUAUUGAGCGCUAGAGUGUUUCUAAAAGCACCAAGCUAUUGAUGUUUAUAGUUUUCUAGCCCUUAGAGCAACCUUGGAUGAUGUAUUGGGCUAUUGUAUUAAAAGUGUACUUUGGUGGCUUAAAAGUUAAAAAUGGUGGUUUAUGAUUUAUUGGCCACAAGGGUUGAUCAAAGGGCCAAAAAUAACCAAGGCCUUGUUGCUUUUUAAAAAUACUAUAGCUGGGCUCUAUAAGGUAAAUUGAUUGUGCAAAAAACUAGUACAAGAAUAAGAACAAUUCAACAGCAUAGAAAAUUCAUAGAUUUGAAUUACUACUGCAACACCAAAAUAAUUUUUCUUUUUAUUUGACUACUUAAUGUUGAGAAAAUUCGUCACUAUGAAUACAUUAUAACUAAGAGCAAUACAUUAGUAUAAAAUCCGACCUCAAACAAAAAAAUUAGUUAUAUUAUGAAAGGACAACUAAAUUUUGGAAUCAACGGGCUUUGCACGAACCAAUAAUAGUUUUAAAUAAUAAAUUGAAAAGAUAAAAAUUUUAGGUAAUGAAAAAAUUUCACAAAGUAAGAUAAUUUCCAUUAAAUUUAACACCUUUGACUAAUUUUCAGUUGAAACUAGCAUAAAUUCAUUUACUAAUUAAUUAUUAAUAGCUAAUUAACAUAUUAAUUAAUUUUCUUUAUUUAAUUUAUUAUAAUAUUUGAAAUCUGAAUGGAUAAAAAAAAAUUUUAAAAAAAUGGACCAUGUACAUUCAUAUGCCCCUCACUAGUUUAGGGGCAAAAUGAACAAUUUAAUUCUUAACCUUCAUUAUAUUAUGGUAUAACUAAGAUUAAAAUGAGUUGACGGUAUUUUUGAAACAAGUAAAUAUUUGAGGGGGCAAUUUUAAUAUUACAAAUUAUGUAGGGACGUUUACGAUAAUUUUGAACUUUUCAAGAAUACGAAUGAAAUUGCCCAUAUAUAAAAAUGUUGUGCUUAACUAUUCUAUGAUGUUAUUGCCCUAUUAUCAAAAAAAUCUGUUGAUUAAUAGAAAAGUGAAGUGCAAUUUUUUGAAAACUAUAAAGUACUUUCUUAACUAUAGAUUUUUAUAGUAAACUAAAAAUAAAAUCAUAAAAUAGCUAAGCAUAUUGUUUGAACCAUAUGAUAAGGAAGCAAAAACGUACUAAAUCAUAGAUAGUUAAGUAUAACUUUUUAAACAAUAAAGUGGCAAAUUUAGUUGGGUAAAUUGUAGUUUAUCUUUUUUUUUUUGGAAAAAUUUCAAAUACUAUCUCUGUGGUUUCACACUUUCUCAUUUUAGUACCUUACGUUUUAAAGUGUAUCAAUUUAGUAUCAUGUAAUUUUAUUUUUCUCUUUUUAUUAUCCAUUUCACUAAUUUUUUCAUUAAAUAAGUGACAAAGUUAAAAUUAAAGGGUAUUAAAGUGAAUAUUCGAUAAACCUAGUUAGGGCAUCUGAAGUUUUUUUGUAUAUAAUUUAACGAAAUAUUAACGGAGGAAAAAAAAUCAGUGACAAAGUUAAAACUAAAGGGUACUAAAGUAAAUAUUUGAUAAACCUAGGCAGGGUAUUUGAAGUUUUUGGUAUGUAAUUUAACGAAAUAUUAACUGAGGAGCCGACGAAAAGGAAAAAAUGAAACCAUAAGGUACUAAAUUGAUGAACUUUAAACCACACGGUACUAAAGUGAGAAAAUGCAAAAUCACAGGGUACUAAAUUGAUACAUUUUAAACUACAGGAAACUAAAGUGAAAAAAUGCGAAACCACAGGAGUUGUAUUUGAAGUUUUCUUUUUUGUUUUUUACUCCAUGUUUUGUGAUAGGUGGUCCAACCUUACAGGGGGAUAAUAAUGUAAUGAAUUUGGUGGGCCCAGACCAACUACAUUCUGCGAGAAAAGGCCAACCCAAACCCCGUAUUAGCAAAGCCCAACCCAAACUCCAUGUUAGCACUUAGCAGUACUGUGCUUUAACUUAUCCUGCAAUUAUGUUUUUCUUUUUUUCUCGGAUAAAAUCAUAUAAACUUGAUGUGAAUUAUGGUUAAUUUUAAUUUGGCCCAAUCUUUUAAAAUAUUGAUUAUACAAUCAAAAUUUUAAUUUGUUUAAUUUGAGUAAAUCAACAGUAUCCUCACUUCAAAAUUCAAAGGGGCUAUUUAUUUUUAUAGUUUUAAUUGGUAUAUUUUAUAUAACUGGCGCAAUAACAAAAUUAUUAAAAUAAAUAAAUAAUUUCAAUUUUAAAACUAAAAUGCUUAUUCAAAAAUUUAUAUAGCUCACUCAAAAUGGACCAUAACCAUAAGUAAAUCCCUUACAUUAUUGUUAAUUAUUAUUAAUACUACUACUGGUUACCCUAUAUUACUGGUAGCAUUUGUUAAAAACAGUUGUGAAUCAUAUGUUCCAUUCACUCUAAGGCUGAAAAAAUAAAUUUUGAAAAAUUUUAUUUAUUCUUUUCCGAAAAAGUUCUAGAGCUUCUCAUAAUCUGGUACACACAAAAAAAAAAAAAAAAAAACUUCAAAUACUGCUUUUGUGUUUUUAUGCUUUCUCAUUUUAUAUCUUGUGAUUUUAAGUUAUAUCAAUUUAGUAUAUGUGUUUUUUUUUUGAAUUUUCUUCUAUUAAUCAAUGAAAACUUAAAUACUAAACAAGUAUUAAACUAAAUAUUGGAUAAGUUCUCGGUGGGUAUUGAGCAGUUUUUACUAUGAACUUAAGAUGCUAACGGAGAAAGUUUGACGAAAAGAAAAAAAAUCAUAGAAAACUAAAUGAUACACUUUAACCAUAGAGGCUACUAACAGCUGAAAAAGUGUGAAAUUAUAUAAUGAUAUUAAAGUUUACAAAACAAAAAAAUAUAAAAAAAACAUUUCUAGAGGAUAAUUAUGCCGGUCUUGCAGCCUUCCAGAUCGCGUCUCCAAAUUCCUCGAUGCCUGUCGGCCCAAGAUCGUCUCCGAAUCGUCGAGCGGCCCGGACGCUCCCGAGGUCGGCCGCCGCCGCCGCGCCACCGCCGUCGUCACACAAAUUCGCUCUCGCUCUCGCUCUGCUUGCCGCCGCUUCUUCUUCCCCUGCGAGGGGGACGCCUUCCUGUCCGCGGCCACGGCCUCUGCAGCGCUCGCAGGACGUCCGACCCUCAAACCCCCGUCCGUCGUCCACCCUCGCCUCGGCCUCGGCUGGCGCGGGCGAGGGCGGGGCAGCGGCGACGCGCAAAGUCCUCCUCGUCGGAGUGCCGCGUCGUGCGGCGGUUGAGGUGAUACGCAGAGGAGGGAUUUGCCGGCCGCCGCGCCGGAUGUGGUGUGGUGGUGGUGGGAGCGGAUCUCGCGGCGGCCGUAGUGCGACGCGGAGGGGCGCGGAGCGGAAGGCGCAGAAGGGAGACGUUCGGGAGGAGGAGGGAGAAGAGGGCGGUGUGGUUGGCGCCCCGCCGCCCGGGCAAGCAUCUUUGCCUUAAUUAGUGACGGGAUUGAAGAGCAGUCCUCAUUUGUUGCUUUCUUUCCUUUUUUUUUUUUUUUUCUUCUUUUUAUUGUGUGUUUUCCAGGACCGUCGUCGAAAAUAAAUAAUUAUAUUCAAAAUUAAAAAUUGGCUAAAUUAUAUAAAAUCUCCGGUCAAAAUUUGAUUUUUCACUUCCCUUUCCUGUCAUUUAAAAAUCUACAUUUUGUUUCCUUAUAAAAUAAAAAAUAUUCGGUGUGUAAAAUGAUCAUUUUGUCACUCACUAUUGUUGUCUCCUUUAUCAUCUUCCUCAACCGCCGCCUCGAUCGGCCACGAUUCACACUUCGAUCGGCUGCGAUUUCUCUCCAUUUUUUUUUCCAUCUGCUCUUCCUGCACCUUCGCCGCCCCUCGAUUUCGGCGAUAGUAUGGAGGAAAUCGAGAUGGGCGUUGAUGGAGAGGUAGGAAAGAGCAACGAGGGCGAAGGCGAGGCGGCGGAGGAGGGCGAACGGAUGUGGGCGAGUGCAGGGCGGUGGAGGAGGGCGAGGCGGCGAGGCGGCGGUAGGCGAAGCAACAGGGAAGAGGACGAAGGGGUAUUUUUGGCAUAAAAAAAUAUUUUAUAACGGAACCCUAAUGGUAGGGGGUGAAGUGCACAUUUUUUAUUUUACUAGUUAAGUGCACGUGCCACGCACGUCACACAAAUACUAAAAAAAAAAAUUUAUAAAUAAAUAUUAUAGAUUCGAUAAAUAAUAUUUAAUCAUUACUAAAAUAAAAUGAUAGAAAUAAAAAAUAGAAUUACAAUAUCAUAAAAGAAAGAACACAAAAUCUAUCAUGGUAUCAUUAAAAAAAAAUACAAAAUUCGUCACUAAACUAAUUGAAAAUGUCACCAUUAGUUCCCCUUCCGUACAAAUUGCAUUGUAAGUAAGAAAAACAAUAAAAUAAAUAUUAGUAAAUCAUCAGAAUAGAUAAAAUUAAAAAAAAUGUAAAUUUAAUAAGAAUUCAUAUAAGUAAAAAAUUUAGCUUAAUUUUAUUUCUUGAGUUUUUGGAAUAGGUGGAUUAAGCACAAUUUUACUUAUAAAAUUUUGCUAAAUUGAUCCUGAUAAAUAAAUUUAAAAUACCACAAAAAAAUAAAAUAUUAAAAAGUACAUUUAUCCUAAUUAUCGAUAUUAAAGUGCACUAUUUUUAUACAACAACUGAAUUGUUUACAAUAGUGUCUCUCCAAAUGCCAAUGUGUGUUAUAGCACUAUCUUGUUCUAGAGUAUGAAUCUAAUUCGAUUCAUGCUUCAAUCCAUCCAAAUAAUUAGUUAUUAAUAAUUUUUUCAUGCCAAUGUGUGUUAGCAUUAUCUUGUCCUAGAAAAUCAAUCUAAUUCAAUUCAUACUUCAAUCCAUCCAAAUAAUUAGUUCUUAAUAAUUUUAUUCAUGUGAAAUGAUAAAAAGAGAAAUAUUUUAAAUUAAAAUUCAAAUUAUCAAAUUCGCGGGUAUUAAAUUUUGGCGGGCAUUACAAAUUUAAAAUUUAAUUUUGGUACUUAGAUUGGUAGGUAUUACGUUUGAGAAAAAAAAUAUUUGAGAAAAUGUUUGGAUAUGUAAUAAAUUUAAUUUUACAUAUUAUGUGAUUAGCGGAGAUAUUACGUGAUUGGCGGGUAGGGCGUUAGAUAAGAGAUAAAUUUAGUUUUACGUAUUACAUGAUUGUUCGGUAGAAAAAAAAUUUGAAAAAAGGAUAUUUUUGCCAACAAAAAUAACAGAUACUUUUAUUUUUAUUCGUUGGAUGAGAUCCAAUGGCGAAAACUUAAGAUCUAUAUUUGAGAAUAAAUUAUUAUUUGAAGAUUUAUUUAAAAUAGAUAAAAUAUAUUUUAUAUUUGAGAACACGGAGAAUAUUUUGGUGUUGAAUAUUUUGGUAAAAAUAUUUAAAAUUAUAUUUAAUUAACGAUUUUGUUUUGAUUGGGCGGGUAUUAAUUUUUUUAAAAAAUAUUCUAUGCUUUUACGACGCAUUAUUUAAAUAUUGAAUAUUUUGUUAAAAAUAUUUAAAAUUAUAUUUAAUUAACGAUUUAGUUUUGAUUUGGGGUAUUAAAAUAUUUUUAACAAUAUUUAACGCUUUUAUGGCGCGCCAAAUUUUAAUACUCGUCAAAAUUAAAUCUACUAUUUUAUUUAAGGAAAAACCUACUAUCAUAAAUUAAAAUUCAAAUUAUCAAAUUCGCGGGUAUUAAAUUUAUGCGGGCAUUACAAAUUUAAAUUUUAAUUUUGAAUACUACAUGUUGGCAGCAAAUAAAUUUAAUUUUACGUAUUACGUGAUUAGCGAAGGUAUUGCAUGAUUGGCGGGUAUUACGUUAGAUAAGAGAUAAAUUUAGUUUUACGUAUGGUGGGUAGAAAAAAAAAUAUAUGAGAAACGCGGCGUAGAUAGGAGAUAACGGAUAUAAAGGGUAUUUUUGUCAACAAAAAUGACAGAUAUUUUUAUUUUUAUUCGUUGGAUGAGAUCUAAUGGCGAAAACUUAAGAUUUAUAUUUAAGAAUAAAUUAUUAUUUAAAGAUUUAUUUAAAAUGAGUGGUUGAAAUUUACUGGACAUGACAAUAUUAGUAAAAAAGAUAGAGAUAUUUUUGGAAAGGAAAAAAUUUCAAAACUCACGCUUUUAUAAGUAGUAUAGAUAAGGAGGCAAAGUGUAUGUUUUUAAAUGACAGGGGAAAAGUGAAAAAUUGGGUCUUGACAGAAGGGUUUUCUGUAAUUUGGCCUUAAAAAUUUAUCAAAAUAUUAUUAUUUUUUUAUUGUAGGAUAAAAAUGAGACGACAAAUAAUAGUAGAAUACAAAUUAUACAUAUAUAAAAUAUAAAAAAAUUAAUUUAUCCCUUCAUUAUAUAUUUAUGGUUAAAAUUUUAAAUAUUAUUUAUAUGAUUUUGCACUUCUUAUUUUAUUGUCCUAUGAUUUAAAGUGUAUUCAUUUAAUACCCUGUAAUUUUAUUUUAUUUUAUUUUUUUAUUAUUCAUUCUAUUAUUUUUUUUCGUUAAAUUAAUAACAAAAUUAAAACUAAAAAAAUACUAAAAAGUAAAUAUUU
RNAcentral lists this long non-coding RNA (7723 nucleotides) under Ananas comosus (pineapple). RNAcentral describes it as "long non-coding RNA (ACOM_LNC028415)". The record is from RNAcentral. Lineage: Eukaryota; Viridiplantae; Streptophyta; Magnoliopsida; Poales; Bromeliaceae.